GGCCGCUUAGAUUAGUGGUAAUAUCGUGAGCUUUACAGUGCGAAUUCGGAUUCGAGUUCACCACCUGUCUACGCUCAAUGUCGCAGGUUCGAUCCCUGCAGUGGUCA
This 107-nucleotide transfer RNA is filed under the name Pyricularia grisea. RNAcentral describes it as "tRNA-Val". It matches the Rfam family "tRNA". From Rfam's summary of the family: Transfer RNA (tRNA) molecules are approximately 80 nucleotides in length. Their secondary structure includes four short double-helical elements and three loops (D, anti-codon, and T loops). RNAcentral also lists the same sequence under 1 other name. The record is from RNAcentral. Lineage: Eukaryota; Fungi; Ascomycota; Sordariomycetes; Magnaporthales; Pyriculariaceae.